This 497-nucleotide ribosomal RNA is filed under the name uncultured bacterium. RNAcentral's name for it is "partial 16S ribosomal RNA". It matches the Rfam family "Bacterial small subunit ribosomal RNA", at positions 28 to 507 of the family's 1533-position model. The record is from RNAcentral.
GACGAACGCUGGCGGCGUGCCUAAUACAUGCAAGUUGAGCGCUGAAGGUUGGUACUUGUACCAACUGGAUGAGCAGCGCACGGGUGAGUAACGCGUGGGGAAUCUGCCUUUGAGCGGGGGACAACAUUUGGAAACGAAUGCUAAUACCGCAUAAAAACUUUAAACACAAGUUUUAAGUUUGAAAGAUGCAAUUGCAUCACUCAAAGAUGAUCCCGCGUUGUAUUAGCUAGUUGGUGAGGUAAAGGCUCACCAAGGCGAUGAUACAUAGCCGACCUGAGAGGGUGAUCGGCCACAUUGGGACGGAGACACGGCCCAAACUCCUACGGGAGGCAGCAGUAGGGAAUCUUCGGGAAGAGACGAAAGUCUGACCGAGCAACGCCGCGGGAGGGAAGAAGGUUGUCGGAUCGUAAAAAUCGGUUGGUAGAGAAGAACGUUGGUGAGAGUGGAAAGCUCAUCAAGUGACGGUAACUACCCAGAAAGGGACGGCUAACUACGUG